CCUACGGGCGGCAGCAGUGAGGAAUAUUGGUCAAUGGACGAGAGUCUGAACCAGCCAAGUAGCGUGAAGGAUGACUGCCCUAUGGGUUGUAAACUUCUUUUAUAAAGGAAUAAAACGAGGCACGUGUGCCUUUUUGCAUGUACUUUAUGAAUAAGGAUCGGCUAACUCCGUGCCAGCAGCCGCGGUAAUACGGAGGAUCCGAGCGUUAUCCGGAUUUAGUGGGUUUACAGGGAGCGUAGAUGGGUUGUUAAGUCAGUUGUGAAAGUUUGCGGCUCAACCGUAAAAUUGCCAUUGAUACUGGCAGUCUUUAGUACAGUUGAGGUAGGCGGCCUUCGUGUUGUAGCGGU
RNAcentral lists this ribosomal RNA (347 nucleotides) under uncultured bacterium. RNAcentral's name for it is "partial 16S ribosomal RNA". It matches the Rfam family "Bacterial small subunit ribosomal RNA", at positions 338 to 682 of the family's 1533-position model. The record is from RNAcentral.